This 442-nucleotide ribosomal RNA is filed under the name uncultured bacterium. RNAcentral describes it as "partial 16S ribosomal RNA". It matches the Rfam family "Bacterial small subunit ribosomal RNA", at positions 338 to 795 of the family's 1533-position model. The record is from RNAcentral.
ACUACGGGAGGCUGCAGUGGGGAAUAUUGGGCAAUGGGCGCAAGCCUGACCCAGCCACGCCGCGUGAAGGAAGAAGGCUUUCGGGUUGUAAACUUCUUUUGUCAGGGAAGAGUAGAAGACGGUACAUGACGAAUAAGCCACGGCUAACUACGUGCCAGCAGCCGCGGUAAUACGGGGGUUGCAAGCGUUGUCCGGAUUUACUGGGUGUAAAGGGCGUGUAGCCGGGUUGACAAGUCAGAUGUGAAAUCCUGCGGCUUAACCGCAGAACUGCAUUUGAAACUGUUGAUCUUGAGUACUGGAGAGGCAGGCGGAAUUCCGAGUGUAGCGGUGAAAUGCGUAGAUAUGAGGAGGAACACCAGGGGCGAAGGCGGUCUGCUGGACAGCAACUGACGGUGAGGCGCGAAAGCGUGGGGAGCAAACAGGAUUAGAUACCCGGGUAGUC